Long non-coding RNA from Anguilla rostrata (American eel), 1659 nucleotides. RefSeq lists it as uncharacterized. NCBI's taxonomy places the organism in Eukaryota, Metazoa, Chordata, Actinopteri, Anguilliformes, Anguillidae. The transcript is spliced from 3 exons. The record is from RefSeq and is a predicted model, not a curated record.
GGGGCGGGUAAUACAAGAGCUAGAAGAACAAAACCUCUUCAGCACUGCGCUACUAUACCUCACUGAGAGAGAGGACACAUACAAGGACACUCAGACUACUAGCACAAAUGUUUCCUUUAUUCUGUGGCAUACUACUGUCUUCCGUAGGAAACACGGAAGGUGACUCCGUCCUUCAGAAUCACUCAAUAUUCCUGCAGGAAAAUGAGAAGGCAGUAUUAUACUGUCAGUAUGAAACCUCAUAUAGUGCUCCUGAUCUGUUUUGGUACAUUCAGUCAGAUAAGAAGUCACCAGAGUUCAUACUCAAUAGUUAUAAUACCCGUGGAAAUGGUUAUAAAGAAGGACUCACAGCAGAUCAUGAGAAGUCUAACAAGACCUAUAAUCUGAAGAUCGCUGCAGCUGUGCUGUCUGACUCUGCCACAUACUACUGUGCUCUGAGGCCCACAUUGUGUGAGUCUGUUUCUCACCUCAUACCAAAACCUCCUUACUCUGUGUCAAGCCUGGCUGUAGUUAAUAUACUAUAUGCGUCCCAUUUAUCAAUAAAGAAGCAUUAAAGAUCUUGGACAUCAGCCUGUUAGUUCAUGGCAUACAUUGGAUCUGGCAAUGGCAGAUUCAUGGUUUCAUUAUAACAGGGUUUUUGUUAAAGUUUGCAGAGGGAGUUGGAAUGGAGGACAUAUUCUGCUCAAGCUGUAGAUAGAUGUUUGAGGCAGAUAUUUGUACUACAGCAUAUCUAAUUAAUCAACAGCCAAAAUUUUAUUAUUUCAAAAUAUUAUUGUUAUCCAGUAAACCAGAAAUUACCUCAUGAUAGACAGAAAGGAGUAAUGCAUAAGGUUAUCUCCCUUAUAAUUUCCAAGAGAUUUUAGUUGCAUGUCAGUCAUGGUAUAACUUAAUAUAUCAGAUGCACCAUUGUUUCAUUUCUAAUUUUGUCAUAUGCAUUUACCAAUUCAAAAAAAAGAUUUCUACCUUUCUUAUGAAAAUCAGAUAUGUACAUCAUUCUAAAUAAUAAUAUUUUGGCAGCUGAUUAAUUUCACGACAGUAAAACUACACAAUGUGGUACUGUUCUACAUUGAGAAGUCAUUAAGCAGUAUGCUUUCAAAUGUACAGUUCUAAAAUUAGUUCCCCUUUGAACUUUAAUCUGCUGUGUCUUGCUAAGGUAUCAUAAGGUAUCAUGCUUGAGGAAAAUGUCUUUUUUUAUCAUUUGUAAUAUUUCAGUUACAAAACUUUUUUGUAAUUUGAGUAUUUCAGUUUAAUCUUUUUAAUGCAACUUAGUGGUUGAGAGGAUUAUUUUAUCAUAAAAUGUAAAACAAAACAUUCCUUUCUGUAUACUGUACAUUGCCUGUGAUUGUCAGCAAUGGUUUGUGUCCAGAGGAGGGGCUAAAUAAUUGAUGUGUGGAGGAGUUUCCUGUUAAAACUGUAGAGCGAGUCAGAGUGGAAGACUUAUUCUGUUCCAGCUGUGCUUAAAAUCAGUGUUUUAACACAUAUCAUAAUGCUACACUGUUUAUUACUUCUGUUUUCGACAAUGGUGGGUGACAGUUUUGAAGAUUCAAUCAUGGCAAUAAACAACACAGUACAUGCUCUGGGGGAAAGCAAUGUUGCACUGUCAUGCACCUACAGUAGUACUGCAAGUGCUAAGUAUCUGCACUGGUAUCGCCAAUAUCCCUC